CUUCCGGCUACCUCAGCCUGUUCAAGAAGUGGGCGGGUCGCAGUUGGCUCUGAGCCGGACAGGUCGCCCGGGGAAAGGCUUUUGUCACCUUGCGGGGGAACUUUGAGGACGGCUCAUGCUUCCUACCUGUGUGUGACUUUAUCACGCUAGUAUUCCUGUUUUACAAACGAAGAAGCAGGAAGAUUAAGAAACGUCACAGUAAAGCCGGGCGGAUAUCGGUGUCUGCAAAGGCCAGAAGAGGGCAUUAGAAGUCUUGGAGCUGAAGUUAAAAGGCUUUUGUGAAUCACCAAAUGUGGGCGUGGUGUUUCAAACUCAGUCCUCAUGAUUGGGCAGAAAGUACCCUUAACCAUUGAGCCAUCUCUCCAGCCCCUCAGAAAAGCUUCUUCAGGCUUUGAAGGAUGAAAAUGUGUAAAAUCACAGCCUCUUUAAACAAAAUAAUUCUCUGGAAAAAAUCCUUGCCGCCAUGGAACCAUACAGCGUGACAACUCUGUCUACUCCCACACAAGGUUCAAGACGUGAGCUCUCAGCUUGCUGCUCCAGCCACACGCCUGCCUGCUGCCACACCACCCUGCCAUCAUGGCGAUGAACUCGGCGCUCUGGAACCAUGAGCCCAAAUACAUACAUGACUAGAGGGCUGAGCCUGCUAAUCUGACAAUCUGAGUUUGAUUUUGGGGUCCCACGUGAUAGGACAGAACCAUCCAGCACAGGUCAUUUUCUGACCUCCACAUGCAUAUUAUGGCACAUGUGUGUUCAUGUACACACACAGAAACACACACACACACACACACACACACACACACACGGAAAAUUAAUA
Molecule: long non-coding RNA, 814 nt
Organism: Peromyscus eremicus (cactus mouse)
Lineage: Eukaryota; Metazoa; Chordata; Mammalia; Rodentia; Cricetidae
Exons: 4
Source: RefSeq, a predicted model, not a curated record